AGGUGAAGUCAGCCUAAUCCAGGAAACCUGUUUUAAGCAAUUGGGUGUGAGGUAAAACCUGGAGCGGAGGAACCAAUGUUUUGGGGCGUAUCUCUUGUCCUUACGAGGAUAUCCAGAGAAGGGCAUCUCUCAGCCCUAGCCCGUCAGCUAACUCCGUCGGCAUUGGGAGGAGACUGA
Molecule: small RNA, 177 nt
Filed under: Synechococcus sp.
Lineage: Bacteria; Bacillati; Cyanobacteriota; Cyanophyceae; Synechococcales; Synechococcaceae
Description: c-di-AMP sequence
Rfam family: c-di-AMP riboswitch aptamer (ydaO/yuaA leader)
About the family: This family represents a conserved RNA structure found upstream of the ydaO and yuaA genes in Bacillus subtilis and related genes in other bacteria. The ydaO/yuaA element is thought to act as a genetic "off" switch for the ydaO and yuaA genes in its native state.
Source: RNAcentral